RNAcentral lists this ribosomal RNA (253 nucleotides) under uncultured bacterium. RNAcentral describes it as "partial 16S ribosomal RNA". It matches the Rfam family "Bacterial small subunit ribosomal RNA", at positions 524 to 776 of the family's 1533-position model. The record is from RNAcentral.
UACGUAGGGUGCAAGCGUUAAUCGGAAUUACUGGGCGUAAAGCGUGCGCAGGCGGCUUUGCAAGACAGAGGUGAAAUCCCCGGGCUCAACCUGGGAACUGCCUUUGUGACUGCAUAGCUAGAGUACGGCAGAGGGGGAUGGAAUUCCGCGUGUAGCAGUGAAAUGCGUAGAUAUGCGGAGGAACACCGAUGGCGAAGGCAAUCCCCUGGGCCUGUACUGACGCUCAUGCACGAAAGCGUGGGGAGCAAACAGG